AUUAAACAUUAAAUCCUAUUGAAUUUCACUCAACUUUAGAUCAAACCUAAUGAAAUCUUAAAGCCUAAUAAUUCCUAAAUCUUAAGUCAAAUCCUAAAAAAAUCUUAAAUUAAAUCCUAUUCCAAAUCCUAAAUCAAACCCUAAACUAAAUCCUAAUCCAAUCCUAAACCCUAAACCAAACCUUAAAUCAAAUCCUAACCAAACCCUAAUCCAAACCCUAAAUCAAAUCCUAACCAAAUCCUAAACCCUAAUCCAAACCCUAAUCCAAAUCCUAAUCCAACUCUAAACUCUAAUUCAAAUCUUAAAUCCUAAACCAAACCUUAAAUCAAACCCUAACUAAAUCCUAAUCCAAACCCUAAAUCAAACCCUAAUCAAAUCCUAAA
This 383-nucleotide long non-coding RNA is filed under the name Physcomitrium patens. RNAcentral describes it as "long non-coding RNA (PPAT_LNC014338)". The record is from RNAcentral. Lineage: Eukaryota; Viridiplantae; Streptophyta; Bryopsida; Funariales; Funariaceae.